CCACCUCCCUGAGAGCAGUCCCUAGCCAUGUGUCCAGACUCACCACACUUGAAACAGUUCCCGCUUCCAGCGCCUCUACCACUGCCGCCCUGAGGGCACUCCCUAGACAUGUGUCCAGACUCACCACAUUUGUAACAGUUCCCACCUCCAGCCCCUCUACCCCCACCACCACCGCCCUGAGGGCACUCCCUCGACAUGUGACCAGAUUCACCGCACUUAAAACAGUUACCACCUCCAGCCCCUCUACCACCACCGCCCCCCUGAGGACACUCCCUUGACAUAUGUCCAGAUUCACCGCACUUGAAACAGUUACCACCUCCAGCCCCUCUACCACCACCGCCCCCCUGAGGACACUCCCUCGACAUAUGUCCAGAUUCACCGCACUUGAAACAAUUACCACCUCCACCCCCUCUACCACCACCGCUGCCCUGAGGGCACUCCCUAGACAUGUGACCAGAUUCACCACACUUGUAACAAUUCCCCCCUCUACCACCACUGCCACUUCCACCAUCUCCAGAACCCCAGGCACUCUUAGUCCAUGAUUCAGUGGGCUUUGCUCCACCGCUGCCACUUCCACCAUCUCCAGUACCCCAAGCACUCUUACUCCAUGAUUCAGUGGGCUUUGCUCCACCGCUGCCACUUCCACCAUCUCCACUACCCCAAGCACUCUUACUCCAUGAUUCAGUGGGCUU
This 692-nucleotide long non-coding RNA is filed under the name Fragaria vesca (wild strawberry). Its description in RNAcentral is "long non-coding RNA (FVES_LNC003775)". Lineage: Eukaryota; Viridiplantae; Streptophyta; Magnoliopsida; Rosales; Rosaceae. The record is from RNAcentral.